This 188-nucleotide unclassified non-coding RNA is filed under the name uncultured fungus. Its description in RNAcentral is "sequence contains ITS1". The record is from RNAcentral. Lineage: Eukaryota; Fungi.
UUAACUUAUUGUGUAUUUUCUCAGAGAGGCCACUAAAAUAAAGAAGAGUUUGGGUCCUCCGGUGGGCACCUGAAAGGCAUAUGACCCCCCCUGGGGCCGCCCACCGAAGCAACAUCUCAGGUAUGUUCACAGUGGUUUGGGAGUUUUGCAACUCUGUAAUGAUCCCUCCGCUGGUUCACCAACGGAGA